This is an RNA transcript of Pyrus x bretschneideri (Chinese white pear), 1659 nucleotides long. It is a transcript of the gene named protein TRAUCO-like, with no coding region annotated. The record is from RefSeq and is a predicted model, not a curated record. The transcript has 3 exons. Lineage: Eukaryota; Viridiplantae; Streptophyta; Magnoliopsida; Rosales; Rosaceae.
AGUCCCAGGUUUAUGCGUGUUAUCGACACAGAACCCAGUUCUAUCUCUCUCUCUCUCUCUCCAUUUCAAAUUUUCAAUCUCUCUCUGUCUUUCUUCCCCAAGACAUGGACAACCUUCGAACCUAUAGAGACGAAGACGACGAAGAAGACGAACAAUCGAAACCCACAACCGCCGCCGCAAUCCCAACUGCCGAGCCCAUCGAACCACCCGAACCCACCACCGACGACCCCGACACCGACACCCUAAACCCACCUUCCAACGACCCGCAAAACGGCAGUAAAACGGAAACCGAAGCCUCCGAAUCUCUCUCCGAGUCCGUCAAAUCCCAAGAAAUCGACAUCGACAACGACGACGACGAUCCGCCUCCCAAGAAGCAAAAGCAGCUCUCUUCCCUCACCGCAGAGCCCUUUCCCGACCAAGAUCAAACCCCACUGCCCCUGCCCAUCUCCAACGGAAUCGCUGUCGCCGCCGCCGCCCCAACCGCCGCCAAUUCGAAGAAAUCGAAGAAGAAGAACAACAAUGUGUGGGUCACUAAGUCGACCCGCAAGGGGAAAAAGAAGAGCAAGGCCAAUAACAACAACCACAAUGCCCCCGGGGACGACACCGUGUUGAUCACUCCAGUCACGCGGUUCCCGGACAAAACUGACGACACUCCGGACAUGACAAUCUGCCUCUCCAAGGUGUACAAGGCCGAGAAAGUGGAGGUGAGCGAGGACCGAAUGAGUGCCGGUAGCACAAAAGGGUACAGAAUGGUUAGGGCCACCAGGGGAGUGGCUGAGGGGGCUUGGUAUUUUGAAAUAAAGGUGGUGAACUUGGGAGAGAGUGGCCACACAAGGCUUGGCUGGUCCACUGAGAAAGGGGACUUGCAGGCACCCGUCGGGUAUGAUGCGAAUAGUUUUGGGUAUAGGGACAUUGAUGGGAGUAAGGUGCAUAAGGCUUUGAGGGAGAAAUAUGGGGAGGAAGGGUACAAGGAAGGUGAUGUUAUUGGGUUUUAUAUAAAUUUGCCUGAUGGGGGCUCGUAUGCCCCAAAGCCGCCCCAUUUGGUUUGGUACAAGGGUCAGCGGUAUGCUUGUGCCCCUGACGUGAAGGAGGAUCCUCCGAAAGUAGUGCCUGGAAGUGAGAUAUCAUUUUUUAAAAAUGGGGUAUGUCAAGGAGUUGCUUUUAAGGAUCUAUAUGGUGGACGUUACUAUCCUACUGCUUCAAUGUACACUCUUCCACAUCAACCAAAUUGUGUUGUCAAGUUCAACUUCGGCCCUGAUUUUGAAUUCUUUCCAGAAGACUUCGAUGGACGUCCAGUGCCCCGGCCCAUGUUUGAAGUUCCUUAUCAUGGGUUUGAAAACCGAGUUGAAAAUGGAGAUUCUGAUGAGAAGAAACAAUAACCAGAAACCAGCACAAUUCAACCCUAUUUCUGUUUCUGGAGUUUCCAAUAGCCAAAACGAGGUUCGUUCGUUGAGCACUGAGCACUUACUUCAACUGUAUUGCAGAGGCAACGAAAAUGAUGGAUUACAUUCUUUGUUAUACCUCCGUUUGGUCGUAUUUCUUUUAGAUUGAAGAGCUGUCGAGUUUGAUUUCAUUUUUGGGAACUAUCGAUGGACUCUAAGCAGUUUCUCCUGAGCAAUCAUAGUCAAGUAUCAUGUUGGAGAAACAAAUUUCUGGUUA